CUCUUCUUCAAUCUCUUCUAGACUUUUUUUCUUUUUCUUAAUCCUCCCAUUCUCUUAAUUCUUCUUAUUAUCCGGGUUCUAUAUCUAUUUCAGUCUGGUAAACCUAGUGUUUUGGUCUAGAACCCUAACAGAAUCUCUUCUCUUUCACUAUCUCUAUACGAAAAGAUUCUUGAAUCUGUGUAUCUGAUCUUUAUCAAGUAAAAACCCUAACAACGUUGUUGAGGACGAUUUGAAUCACAAAGAAAACUGCAUCUAAGGAGUAUUAUGAGCGUGGUUAGGGUUUUCAAUCUCUCCAGAAUUCGUCUUCAUCAAGAUGAUGCGCCACCUCAAUCAGAUGUUUAAGUGUUCAAGUUUCUUAAUCAAUGAAUUCUUCCUAAGGAUUAGGUUUUCAGAGUAAAGACUUCAUCAUGGCAAUUCAAUGUUUGGCACUUAUUCAGGCACCAAAGAGUAGAAAGCCCUAGCUCCCACAAUUUUCAAAGCCAGCUAAAUCUGGUGGUGGUAAACAAUAGAAGAGCUUCUACAAGUCUUAUGUCGGCUUUCUUCGUUGCUUCUGAUGGUAUCCUCUUGGAGAUCCAUCAGGUAGAGUUGAGUCGUUUGGCUGAUGGUGAUGACAACGUGUUGCAGUUUCAACCUUUUAGGUGAUGGUGAUUACAACACUGUUGCAUAUAUCUGUAGAACUGUACCUUAUUAGAGAAAACCCCAACAACUCCUGCAUAUAUGCUACUUUUUCAGUCACUAUAUAUCUCAGCUUAUAAUAUAUCUCAGUCACUCUUUUUGUAGUUGAUAACUAGCUAUUGCAGGGGAAGAUCGAAUAUGCAAGUGAUGGCAUUAUACCUGCAAUGGUUAUCCUACACGUAGGAGUUACUCCGAAUUUUCUAAUGUAUUUGGUCUCUUAGCUUUGGAACUUAUGGAUGGAAGCUAUGAUGAAUAAUCUUUGACGAAGAAGAUUUUGCACAAGUUAAAACUUGAUAAUUUUCAUGUUAACCAGAAAGCUAUGUAUUUUUGAGUUGUUCAAGUCAUCUAUGCCCCAUACCUGCGGAUAGAGUACGAGAAAAGGGGGUACACAGGGAUGAACUUGUCCACUACCUUAAAGUUCCACUGAAGGAAAUCAUAUUUUAAAUACCAAGAAAUUUUUGAACAAGGCAAAACAGAGAAGUUAGAA
Long non-coding RNA from Papaver somniferum (opium poppy), 1162 nucleotides. RefSeq lists it as uncharacterized. The record is from RefSeq and is a predicted model, not a curated record. The transcript is spliced from 10 exons. Lineage: Eukaryota; Viridiplantae; Streptophyta; Magnoliopsida; Ranunculales; Papaveraceae.